UACGAAGGGGGCUAGCGUUGCUCGGAAUCACUGGGCGUAAAGCGCACGUAGGCGGCUUUUUAAGUCAGGGGUGAAAUCCUGGAGCUCAACUCCAGAACUGCCUUUGAUACUGAGAAGCUUGAGUCCGGGAGAGGUGAGUGGAAUUCCCAGUGUAGCGGUGAAAUGCGUAGAUAUUGGGAGGAACACCAGUGGCGAAGGCGGCUCACUGGACCGGAACUGACGCUGAGGCGCGAAAGCGUGGGGAGCAAACGAG
This 253-nucleotide ribosomal RNA is filed under the name uncultured bacterium. Its description in RNAcentral is "partial 16S ribosomal RNA". It matches the Rfam family "Bacterial small subunit ribosomal RNA", at positions 524 to 776 of the family's 1533-position model. The record is from RNAcentral.